RNAcentral lists this ribosomal RNA (447 nucleotides) under uncultured bacterium. RNAcentral's name for it is "bacterial SSU rRNA". It matches the Rfam family "Bacterial small subunit ribosomal RNA", at positions 355 to 825 of the family's 1533-position model. The record is from RNAcentral.
UGGGGAAUAUUGGACAAUGGGCGCAAGCCUGAUCCAGCCAUGCCGCGUGAGUGACGAAGGCCUUAGGGUUGUAAAGCUCUUUUGGCGGGGAAGAUAAUGACGGUACCCGCAGAAUAAGCUCCGGCUAACUUCGUGCCAGCAGCCGCGGUAAUACGAAGGGAGCUAGCGUUGUUCGGAAUCACUGGGCGUAAAGCGCACGUAGGUGGGCAGUUAAGUCAGGGGUGAAAGCCCGAGGCUCAACCUCGGAAUUGCCUCUGAUACUGGCUGUCUAGAGUUCGAGAGAGGUGAGUGGAAUUCCUAGUGUAGAGGUGAAAUUCGUAGAUAUUGGGAAGAACACCAGUGGCGAAGGCGGCCAUCUGGUCCGGUACUGACGCUGAGGCGCGAAAGCGUGGGGAGCAAACAGGAUUAGAUACCCGUGUAGUCCCUGAGCGGGCUGGCAAGGCGCAU